CUUUAUUGGAGAGUUUGAUCCUGGCUCAGGAUGAACGCUGGCGGCGUGCCUAAUACAUGCAAGUCGAGCGAAUGGAUUAAGAGCUUGCUCUUAUG
Molecule: ribosomal RNA, 95 nt
Filed under: Bacillus anthracis (anthrax bacterium)
Lineage: Bacteria; Bacillati; Bacillota; Bacilli; Caryophanales; Bacillaceae
Also listed under: 1 other name
Description: partial 16S ribosomal RNA
Rfam family: Bacterial small subunit ribosomal RNA
Source: RNAcentral